GCAAGUCGAACGCGAAAGAGAUCUUCGGAUCUUGAGUAGAGUGGCGGACGGGUGAGUAACGCGUAGGAAUCUGCCUAGUAGUGGGGGAUAGCCCGGAGAAAUCCGGAUUAAUACCGCAUACGCCCUACGGGGGAAAGAUGGCCUCUUCUUGAAAGCUAUCACUAUUAGAUGAGCCUGCGUCGGAUUAGCUAGUUGGUGAGGUAAUGGCUCACCAAGGCGACGAUCCGUAGCUGGUCUGAGAGGACGAUCAGCCACACUGGGACUGAGACACGGCCUUGACUCCUACGGGAGGCNAGCAGUGGGGAAUAUUGGACAAUGAGCGAAAGCUUGAUCCAGCAAUACCGCGUGUGUGAAGAAGGCCUGCGGGUUGUAAAGCACUUUCAGUGGGGAAGAAAAGCUUAAGGUUAAUACCCUUGGGUCUUGACGUUACCCACAGAAGAAGCGCCGGCUAACUCCGUGCCAGCAGCCGCGGUAAUACGGAGGGUGCAAGCGUUAAUCGGAAUUACUGGGCGUAAAGCGCGCGUAGGCGGUUUAGUCAGUCAGAUGUGAAAGCCCCGGGCUCAACCUGGGAACUGCAUUUGAUACUGCUGAACUAGAGUAUGGUAGAGGGAAGUGGAAUUCCGGGUGUAGCGGUGAAAUGCGUAGAUAUCCGGAGGAACACCAGUGGCGAAGGCGACUUCCUGGACCAAUACUGACGCUGAGGUGCGAAAGCGUGGGUAGCAAACAGGAUUAGAUACCCUGGUAGUCCACGCCGUAAACGAUGUCAACUAGCCGUUGGGCUCAUUUAAGGGCUUAGUGGCGCAGCUAACGCGAUUAAG
This 818-nucleotide ribosomal RNA is filed under the name endosymbiont of Ifremeria nautilei. RNAcentral's name for it is "bacterial SSU rRNA". It matches the Rfam family "Bacterial small subunit ribosomal RNA", at positions 57 to 864 of the family's 1533-position model. The record is from RNAcentral.